CGGGCUUGUAAGUCAGUGGUGAAAUACUGCCGCUUAACGGUAGAAUUGCCAUUGAUACUGCGAGUCUUGAGUAUGGUUGAGGUAGGCGGAAUGUGCAGUGUAGCGGUGAAAUGCAUAGAGAUUGCACGGAACACCGAUUGCGGAGGCAGCUUACUAAGCCAUAACUGACGCUGAGGCACGAAAGCGUGGGGAGCGAACAGGAUUAGAUACCCUGGUAGUCCACGCCGUAAACGUUGAUUACUCGUUGUUGGCAAUACAUCGUCAGCGACUGAGCGAAAGCAUUAAGUAAUCCACCUGGGGAGUACGUCAGCAAUGAUGAAACUCAAAGGAAUUGACGGGGGCCCGCACAAGCGGAGGAACAUGUGGUUUAAUUCGAUGAUACGCGAGGAACCUUACCUGGGCUUAAAUGUAUUGUGCAUAGAGUAGAAAUACUCUUUUCCUUCGGGACUCUUUACAAGGUGCUGCAUGGUUGUCGUCAGCUCGUGCCGUGAGGUGUCGGGUUAAGUCCCAUAACGAGCGCAACCCUCAUUGUCAGUUGCCAGCACAUAAUGGUGGGGACUCUGAUAAAACUGCCGGUGCAAACCGUGAGGAAGGUGAGGAUGACGUCAAAUCAGCACGGCCCUUAUGUCCAGGGCUACACACGUGUUACAAUGGACAGUACAGUGGGCAGCUACCACGCAAGUGGAUGCUAAUCUCCAAAACUGUUCUUAGUUCGGAUCGGAGUCUGCAACUCGACUCCGUGAAGCUGGAUUCGCUAGUAAUCGCACAUCAGCCAUGGUGCGGUGAAUACGUUCCCGGGCCUUGUACACACCGCCCGUCAAGC
This 823-nucleotide ribosomal RNA is filed under the name uncultured Bacteroidota bacterium. Its description in RNAcentral is "bacterial SSU rRNA". It matches the Rfam family "Bacterial small subunit ribosomal RNA", at positions 576 to 1402 of the family's 1533-position model. Lineage: Bacteria; Pseudomonadati; Bacteroidota. The record is from RNAcentral.